RNAcentral lists this unclassified non-coding RNA (224 nucleotides) under rhizosphere metagenome. Its description in RNAcentral is "partial ribosomal RNA internal transcribed spacer region". The record is from RNAcentral.
GUAGGUGAACCUGCGGAAGGAUCAUUAACACGUGUUUACACACGUAUUAUCUAUCAACCAAUCGUGAACUGUUAUUUAACUUUAUUUUUACCAUUUUUUAUCUGGUCUAAUUCUUUUUGGUAUUCGUUGAUCUCCUGAACUUAACUGUUCGGUUGAGGACGACUUGAGUAUCAAAACACAAAAUAAAUACGAAACAACUCUUAGCAACGGAUAUCUUGGUUCUC